Molecule: unclassified non-coding RNA, 358 nt
Filed under: soil metagenome
Description: partial contains 5.8S ribosomal RNA, internal transcribed spacer 2, and large subunit ribosomal RNA
Rfam family: 5.8S ribosomal RNA (bases 1-120)
Source: RNAcentral
GAUGAAGAACGCAGCGAAAUGCGAUAAGUAAUGUGAAUUGCAGAAUUCAGUGAAUCAUCGAAUCUUUGAACGCACAUUGCGCCCGCCAGUAUUCUGGCGGGCAUGCCUGUCCGAGCGUCAUUUCAACCCUCGAACCCCUCCGGGGGGUCGGCGUUGUGGACCUCGGGAGCCCCUAAGACGGGAUCCCGGCCCCGAAAUACAGUGGCGGUCUCGCCGCAGCCUCUCCUGCGCAGUAGUUUGCACAACUCGCACCGGGAGCGCGGCGCGUCCACGUCCGUAAAACACCCAACUUCUGAAAUGUUGACCUCGGAUCAGGUAGGAAUACCCGCUGAACUUAAGCAUAUCAAUAAGCGGAGGA